GUCUGUUUAUGUGGUCACAUCAACCACUGUGUGACUCAAGGGACAAACAAAUUGAUCUUUGGGAAAGGCACUCAACUCUCUUUGCUUUCAAAAAAAAAACAAGAGCCAGUCUUUUACAAAUUGAAUGACUCCUACUGUUUGGCAACCGAUUUCACAAACCACAGUGCUGUAAAUUUCAAAGAUGCUACACCAGUGCGAUAUUCAAACCAAGAUUACUACAGCAGCUUCAGCUUUAGUGAUUCAAAUGGAUGCGAUGAAAAAGACUGUGAGUCAGGAUCUUCCGGUCCAAGUGGUUUUGAAUCAGGUGAGUUUGCUUUUAUUAGCACAUUUAUAGUCUGCUGUGUGUUUCUUUUCAUUUGCAGUCCAUUACUACUAGUCUGUUACUGCCUAACAUCUAGCACUAUACAACAAUAA
Molecule: long non-coding RNA, 414 nt
Organism: Carassius auratus (goldfish)
Lineage: Eukaryota; Metazoa; Chordata; Actinopteri; Cypriniformes; Cyprinidae
Source: Ensembl